GGUCAAGUGAAGAAGCGCAUACGGUGGAUGCCUUGGCAGUCAGAGGCGAUGAAAGACGUGGUAGCCUGCGAAAAGCUUCGGGGAGUCGGCAAACAGACUUUGAUCCGGAGAUCUCUGAAUGGGGGAACCCACCUAGGAUAACCUAGGUAUCUUGUACUGAAUCCAUAGGUGCAAGAGGCGAACCAGGGGAACUGAAACAUCUAAGUACCCUGAGGAAAAGAAAUCAACCGAGAUUCCCUUAGUAGUGGCGAGCGAACGGGGAUUAGCCCUUAAGCUUCAUUGAUUUUAGCGGAACGCUCUGGAAAGUGCGGCCAUAGUGGGUGAUAGCCCCGUACGCGAAAGGAUCUUUGAAGUGAAAUCGAGUAGGACGGAGCACGAGAAACUUUGUCUGAACAUGGGGGGACCAUCCUCCAAGGCUAAAUACUACUGACUGACCGAUAGUGAACCAGUACCGUGAGGGAAAGGCGAAAAGAACCCCGGAGAGGGGAGUGAAAUAGAACCUGAAACCGUAUGCGUACAAGCAGUGGGAGCCUACUUGUUAGGUGACUGCGUACCUUUUGUAUAAUGGGUCAGCGACUUAUAUUCAGUGGCAAGCUUAACCGUAUAGGGUAGGCGUAGCGAAAGCGAGUCUUAAUAGGGCGUUUAGUCGCUGGGUAUAGACCCGAAACCGGGCGAUCUAUCCAUGAGCAGGUUGAAGGUUAGGUAACACUGACUGGAGGACCGAACCCACUCCCGUUGAAAAGGUAGGGGAUGACUUGUGGAUCGGAGUGAAAGGCUAAUCAAGCUCGGAGAUAGCUGGUUCUCCUCGAAAGCUAUUUAGGUAGCGCCUCAUGUAUCACUCUGGGGGGUAGAGCACUGUUUCGGCUAGGGGGUCAUCCCGACUUACCAAACCGAUGCAAACUCCGAAUACCCAGAAGUGCCGAGCAUGGGAGACACACGGCGGGUGCUAACGUCCGUCGUGAAAAGGGAAACAACCCAGACCGCCAGCUAAGGUCCCAAAGUUGUGGUUAAGUGGUAAACGAUGUGGGAAGGCUUAGACAGCUAGGAGGUUGGCUUAGAAGCAGCCAUCCUUUAAAGAAAGCGUAAUAGCUCACUAGUCGAGUCGGCCUGCGCGGAAGAUGUAACGGGGCUCAAACCACACACCGAAGCUGCGGGUGUCACGCAAGUGACGCGGUAGAGGAGCGUUCUGUAAGCCUGUGAAGGUGAGUUGAGAAGCUUGCUGGAGGUAUCAGAAGUGCGAAUGCUGACAUGAGUAACGACAAUGGGUGUGAAAAACAUCCACGCCGAAAGACCAAGGGUUCCUGCGCAACGUUAAUCGACGCAGGGUUAGUCGGUUCCUAAGGCGAGGCUGAAAAGCGUAGUCGAUGGGAAACAGGUUAAUAUUCCUGUACUUCUGGUU
This 1399-nucleotide ribosomal RNA is filed under the name Pseudomonas aeruginosa. Its description in RNAcentral is "partial 23S ribosomal RNA". It matches the Rfam family "Bacterial large subunit ribosomal RNA", at positions 1 to 1452 of the family's 2925-position model. Lineage: Bacteria; Pseudomonadati; Pseudomonadota; Gammaproteobacteria; Pseudomonadales; Pseudomonadaceae. The record is from RNAcentral.